This 1172-nucleotide long non-coding RNA is filed under the name Mus spicilegus (steppe mouse). RNAcentral describes it as "lncRNA (ENSMSIG00000017111.1)". Lineage: Eukaryota; Metazoa; Chordata; Mammalia; Rodentia; Muridae. The record is from RNAcentral.
GGCUCAACAGGUCAUGUCCGCGGGGUGCAGCAGCGGGGUCUCUUUACUGGAGGUGCUCUGUGCGCCACGAUGCUGCUGUCAAGGCUGGAGGCUACCAAGAGCGAGCUCCCAGCCUCUGCUCACUUGGUCUGGAAUGGGUUAAGUGCGGAGGCUCAGGAGCUGUUGCGGGCAGGCGCCGGGCACCGCGCACACUAGAUCCAUGGAGGGCUAGCUCAGCUGCAGCCCCUGCCGGCAGACCCCCAAGCCGUAGGUGGCAGGCGGGGACAGCGAGGUGCACGCGCGCCCCGGCCGUGGGCGGCCUCCCAGCUCGCGCUCCCUCCAAGUGCAGGGCAUACGCAGGAGUAAUCAGUCGCUGCCAACCCGGAGGUUGGCACGCGUGCGGAGGAGCCCGGCGCGUUCCCGGCGUCGGGAAAGCGCACAGAAUCGCAGCGCUCGCACAGACAGGAGCAAGAAUGUGGAGAGUGAUGUGGGAAACCUGACGUGGAAGGAAGCAGCAGAGGCUCCCGAUGACAAAUGAGGAAAACCUGGGCACACACAGUAACUGCCUUUCCAGACACUCGCCCAUAGGUGGAGUGGUUUCCUAGGUGAUCCGUGUGGGCUUGAAGCUGCCACCCUGAUUCAGACACAACUCAGCUGAAUUCUGGGCUGCAUAGCUGGAAUCUGUAGAACAGAGCUGAAGCUAAGGAUUUAAAUGUGGUCACCAUCCCUGCAGGAUUUGUUGGUCUUGGGUCUACAGUACUGUGAUACAAGGUGACUCAGUGGGUUCACACAGAGUCCAAGGAAGGGCAUGCUGUGGACCAGACACACUUAACCUCAGUUCUCCAAAGGAGCAACACAAGGGAGCCUCAGCUCAGGGCUGUCGGAUGUGCAAACUGCAAAAAACCAAACCAAAGCAAAGCAAAAAACCCAAAACCCUUGUUGCUACCAGGCUGGGUCACCUCCGCCCCAACGGAUAUAGCCUGAGUUGAGGUUCCUCUUUCGAAAGUUCAGAGAGUUGGGCGAGUCCUCCUCACAAGAGAGGAGAGUGGGAAGGGCAAGGUGGGAGUGGCGUGAUCAGGGGGUGGACAUAUGUGAAAUCUGAUCCGGUGCCAAGGAAAGGGUAUGUGCUGCCAGAGACCCCAGGGCAAAGCUCAGCCUUCACCAGGCAUGUCUAGCUCCUGAGCUGGCCGACU